Molecule: unclassified non-coding RNA, 216 nt
Filed under: Hevea brasiliensis (rubber tree)
Lineage: Eukaryota; Viridiplantae; Streptophyta; Magnoliopsida; Malpighiales; Euphorbiaceae
Source: RNAcentral
GAAGAGUUGGGAUAGGAGAAAUCAAGGACUGCCUAAACCUCGACUAUUUACUGUUGGCCGCCUUGAUGUUGCCACAGGUGGAUUGAUUAUCGUGACCAAUGAUGGAGAUUUUGCUCAAGCACUUGCACAUCCUUCAUUCAAAUUAUCGAAGGAAUACAUUGCAACCGUAGAAGGUGUAGUAAACAAGCAGCAUUUAGUAGCCAUCAGCAAAGGAAC